This 468-nucleotide ribosomal RNA is filed under the name uncultured bacterium. Its description in RNAcentral is "partial 16S ribosomal RNA". It matches the Rfam family "Bacterial small subunit ribosomal RNA", at positions 28 to 507 of the family's 1533-position model. The record is from RNAcentral.
GACGAACGCUGGCGGCGUGCUUAACACAUGCAAGUCGAACGGAAAGGCCCCGCUUUUGUGGGGUGCUCGGGUGGCGAACGGGUGAGUAACACGUGAGUAACCUGCCCUUGACUUUGGGAUAACUUCAGGAAACUGGGGCUAAUACCGGAUAGGAGCUCCUGCUGCAUGGUGGGGGUUGGAAAGUUUCGGCGGUUGGGGAUGGACUCGCGGCUUAUCAGCUUGUUGGUGGGGUAGUGGCUUACCAAGGCUUUGACGGGUAGCCGGCCUGAGAGGGUGACCGGCCACAUUGGGACUGAGAUACGGCCCAGACUCCUACGGGAGGCAGCAGUGGGGAAUAUUGCACAAUGGGCGGAAGCCUGAUGCAGCAACGCCGCGUGCGGGAUGACGGCCUUCGGGUUGUAAACCGCUUUCGCCUGUGACGAAGCGUGAGUGACGGUAAUGGGUAAAGAAGCACCGGCUAACUACGUG